Molecule: ribosomal RNA, 508 nt
Filed under: uncultured bacterium
Lineage: Bacteria
Description: partial 16S ribosomal RNA
Rfam family: Bacterial small subunit ribosomal RNA
Source: RNAcentral
ACUCAAAUGAAUUGACGGGGGCUCACACAAGCGGUGGAGCAUGUGGCUCAAUUCGAAGCAACGCGAAGAACCUUAUCCUGGACUUGACAUGGUAGAAGUACGAAGUGGAAACACUUAGGACCGGUAUCCAAUCCGGAACUAUCACAGGUGCUGCAUGGCUGUCGUCAGCUCGUGCUGUGAAGUGUCGGGUUAAGUCCCAUAACGAGCGAAACCCCUAUCGUUAGUUGCCAGCAUGUAAUGGUGGGCACUCUAACGAGACUGCCGGUGUUAAACCGGAGGAAGGCGGGGAUGACGUCAAGUCCUCAUGGCCUUUAUGUCCAGGGCUGCACACGUGCUACAAUGCCGAUGACAAACCGAAGCAAGACCGCAAGGUGGAGCAAAUCGGAGAAAAAUCGGCCCAGUUCAGAUUGAGGGCUGCAACUCGCCCUCAUGAAGUUGGAAUCGCUAGUAAUCGCGGAUCAGCUAUGCCGCGGUGAAUGUGUUCCUGAGCCUUGUACACACCGCCCGU